Molecule: ribosomal RNA, 496 nt
Filed under: uncultured bacterium
Lineage: Bacteria
Description: partial 16S ribosomal RNA
Rfam family: Bacterial small subunit ribosomal RNA
Source: RNAcentral
GAUGAACGCUGGCGGCGUGCCUAAUACAUGCAAGUCGAGCGAACGGACGAGAAGCUUGCUUCUCUGAUGUUAGCGGCGGACGGGUGAGUAACACGUGGAUAACCUACCUAUAAGACUGGGAUAACUUCGGGAAACCGGAGCUAAUACCGGAUAAUAUUUUGAACCGCAUGGUUCAAAAGUGAAAGACGGUCUUGCUGUCACUUAUAGAUGGAUCCGCGCUGCAUUAGCUAGUUGGUAAGGUAACGGCUUACCAAGGCAACGAUGCAUAGCCGACCUGAGAGGGUGAUCGGCCACACUGGAACUGAGACACGGUCCAGACUCCUACGGGAGGCAGCAGUAGGGAAUCUUCCGCACUGGGCGAAAGCCUGACGGAGCAACGCCGCGUGAGUGAUGAAGGUCUUCGGAUCGUAAAACUCUGUUAUUAGGGAAGAACAUAUGUGUAAGUAACUGUGCACAUCUUGACGGUACCUAAUCAGAAAGCCACGGCUAACUACGU